GGGGCCUUAGCUCAGCUGGCUAGAGUGCUUGACUGGCAGUCAAGAGGUCACGGGUUCGACUCCCGUAGGCUCCA
Molecule: transfer RNA, 74 nt
Filed under: Bacteroidia bacterium
Lineage: Bacteria; Pseudomonadati; Bacteroidota; Bacteroidia
Also listed under: 1 other name
Description: tRNA-Ala
Rfam family: tRNA
About the family: Transfer RNA (tRNA) molecules are approximately 80 nucleotides in length. Their secondary structure includes four short double-helical elements and three loops (D, anti-codon, and T loops).
Source: RNAcentral